This 252-nucleotide long non-coding RNA is filed under the name Elaeis guineensis (African oil palm). RNAcentral describes it as "long non-coding RNA (EGUI_LNC036494)". The record is from RNAcentral. Lineage: Eukaryota; Viridiplantae; Streptophyta; Magnoliopsida; Arecales; Arecaceae.
UCUCUAAUCUCUCUCUCUCUCUUAGAUCAGAUCUAAGGAGAAGUUGGGACAUUGGGAUGAAGAAGGGAGGAAAGGAAGGCAUGGAUAAAGAGAUGUAGCAAGAAAAAACUCACACCCAUCUUCAUCAUGCACGCACACCUCUUUUCUUCUUUUAUUUUGUCCCACAAAACACUCCAACUCCCCCUUCUAGAUAUAGAUAAGAUUCUCUUCCUUUUUUGAAUUGAAUUCAAAAAGAAAGCAAAGUCUAAAAGG